UUCCGGUUGAUCCUGCCAGACCUGACUGCUAUCGGAUUGAUACUAAGCCAUGCGAGUCUUUGCAGUAAUGCAAGGCAUACGGCUCAGUAACACGUAGUCAACUUACCCUAUGGACGAGGAUAAUCUCGGGAAACUGAGCAUAAUACUCGAUAGAUCAUAAUGCCUGGAAUGGUUUAUGGUUGAAAUGAUUCGUCGCCAUAGGAUGGGACUGCGGCCUAUCAGCUUGUUGGUGAGGUAAUGGCCCACCAAGGCGAUUACAGGUACGGGCUCUGAGAGGAGAAGCCCGGAGAUGGGUACUGAGACAAGGACCCAGGCCCUAUGGGGCGCAGCAGGCGAGAAAACUUUGCAAUGUGCGAAAGCACGACAAGGUUAAUCCGAGUGAUUUCUGCUAAAGAAAUCUUUUGCAAGUCAUAAAACCACUAGUGAAUAAGGGGUGGGCAAGUUCUGGUGUCAGCCGCCGCGGUAAAACCAGCACCUCAAGUGGUCAGGAGGAUUAUUGGGCCUAAAGCAUCCGUAGCCGGCUCUGUAAGUUUUCGGUUAAAUCCAUGUGCUCAACAUAUGGGCUGCCGAAAAUACUGCAUAGCUAGGGAGUGGGAGAGGUAGACGGUACUCGGUAGGAAGGGGUAAAAUCCUUUGAUCUAUCGAUGACCACCUGUGGCGAAGGCGGUCUACCAGAACACGUUCGACGGUGAGGGAUGAAAGCUGGGGGAGCAAACCGGAUUAGAUACCCGGGUAGUCCCAGCUGUAAACGAUGCAGACUCGAUGAUGCAUUGGCAUAUAGCCAGUGCAGUGUCGCAGGGAAGCCGUUAAGUCUGCCGCCUGGGAAGUACGUACGCAAGUAUGAAACUUAAAGGAAUUGGCGGGGGAGCACCACAAGGGGUGAAGCCUGCGGUUCAAUUGGAUUCAACGCCGGA
Molecule: ribosomal RNA, 914 nt
Filed under: uncultured archaeon
Lineage: Archaea
Description: bacterial SSU rRNA
Rfam family: Archaeal small subunit ribosomal RNA
Source: RNAcentral